Molecule: long non-coding RNA, 143 nt
Organism: Cervus elaphus (red deer)
Lineage: Eukaryota; Metazoa; Chordata; Mammalia; Artiodactyla; Cervidae
Exons: 3
Source: RefSeq, a predicted model, not a curated record
UCAGCUUUCUUUAUAUUUCAACUCUCACAUCCAUACAUGACUACUGGAAAAACCAUAGCCUUGACUAGACAGACGUUUGCCAGCAAAGUGAUGUCUCUGCUUUUUAAUAUGCUGUCUAGGUUGGUCAUAGUUUCCCUUCCAAG